GGCAGCAUGGUCUUAGCUUGCUAAGGCCGAUGGCGACCGGCGCACGGGUGAGUAACACGUAUCCAACCUGCCGUCUACUCUUGGACAGCCUUCUGAAAGGAAGAUUAAUACAAGAUGGCAUCAUGAGUCCGCAUGUUCACAUGAUUAAAGGUAUUCCGGUAGACGAUGGGGAUGCGUUCCAUUAGAUAGUAGGCGGGGUAACGGCCCACCUAGUCUUCGAUGGAUAGGGGUUCUGAGAGGAAGGUCCCCCACAUUGGAACUGAGACACGGUCCAAACUCCUACGGGAGGCAGCAGUGAGGAAUAUUGGUCAAUGGGCGAGAGCCUGAACCAGCCAAGUAGCGUGAAGGAUGACUGCCCUAUGGGUUGUAAACUUCUUUUAUAAAGGAAUAAAGUCGGGUAUGGAUACCCGUUUGCAUGUACUUUAUGAAUAAGGAUCGGCUAACUCCGUGCCAGCAGCCGCGGUAAUACGGAGGAUCCGAGCGUUAUCCGGAUUUAUUGGGUUUAAAGGGAGCGUAGAUGGAUGUUUAAGUCAGUUGUGAAAGUUUGCGGCUCAACCGUAAAAUUGCAGUUGAUACUGGAUAUCUUGAGUGCAGUUGAGGCAGGCGGAAUUCGUGGUGUAGCGGUGAAAUGCUUAGAUAUCACGAAGAACUCCGAUUG
This 658-nucleotide ribosomal RNA is filed under the name uncultured Bacteroides sp. RNAcentral's name for it is "bacterial SSU rRNA". It matches the Rfam family "Bacterial small subunit ribosomal RNA", at positions 68 to 715 of the family's 1533-position model. The record is from RNAcentral. Lineage: Bacteria; Pseudomonadati; Bacteroidota; Bacteroidia; Bacteroidales; Bacteroidaceae.